GCUAUUAACAAGAGGACCAUGUAACUGAUCAUCCAAAGACAAUACUGUUGAGGGUGAAAGGGAUUCACUAGGCCAGAAUGACCUCAUUACUAUAGACGUUAGAAGAAACACGAGUAAGGGCCACCGAAGCUCCCGAGAGACGGAGCCGUGAAGCUCAUAUGGUCAACAAUUUUUCUAUAUCCUACAGACAAAAAUGGAUGAAAGUGCAGAUGGACAAAUAUACAGG
Long non-coding RNA from Molossus molossus (Pallas's mastiff bat), 226 nucleotides. RefSeq lists it as uncharacterized. The record is from RefSeq and is a predicted model, not a curated record. NCBI's taxonomy places the organism in Eukaryota, Metazoa, Chordata, Mammalia, Chiroptera, Molossidae. The transcript has 3 exons.